UUUUACAUGAUUUGGUAAAGUAAAUUUUAUUUGAAUUAAAUGUGUAGCUUGAAAUGUAUUUGAUCAUGUUCCGAUGUUACUCAUAAUUAUGAAUAACUUUGUCCAUAAUUUAAGGUUCUACAUAAUUAUUAAUGUAAGCACAAGAUGAAAUGCUGUCAUUUUCUGCCUUAGUGUUUGUAUUUAAACAAAUUAAUAGGGAAAUAAAACGUUUUCUAAGGAUGUGUAACCAAGGAGCAAGAGACCAUUUGCAUCAGUGACAAAGAAGGCAAAGGCAUGCGUUUCAAAAAUGAUAUUGUAUUUUUUGUAACGGUUCAGCUCUUUGGAAUGACAAAUGUCCAUUCACUGACAUUCAGUGUUCAAUGAAUUGCACAGGUCUAAAUCAAGGGGCUGUAGCCUUUAUACAGUAUCUGUAUAUAUAAAAAAAGAAGAGUUGUCCUAACAAUGAUUGGGCCCUCUAAUGCAUUUUGUUACAAAAUGAGGUAGUUAUUUUUCAUAAGGAGUAACAGACAAAGAAUGAGGUAGGUAUGUGGACAUAUUUGUGCAUGUUAAUUAUAUUGACUAAAAGUCACUACAAAGUGAAACUGAACUUUUUCCAUAAGCAGCAAAGAAAAUUAAGGAAAUCACGAUAGCUCCAUCUUUGGACAUGCUCAUUCUGUUUUGAGUUUUUGUGAACAAUCUAACAAGUUAAACAUAAGUCAAACAUACAGUGUGAAACACAACAUACAACAAAACAGCUCACUGAAACAGCCUGUUUUUAAAUGCAACAGCUUUGUUAGAAAGUUUGUCCCCAUUCAGUUCCAUAAAAACCUUCUGAAAGACAUCAAAAGUGUAGCGGGGCUCAGUUAGGGUAACUGAGGUUCAUGGCAUACAUGAGGCCGAACAGCAUUGCAACAGCAAAUGCUACGUUGCCCAGAUCCUGCAGCACCUUGACGCCUUCAAGGACAAUCCCAGUGUCCCCUGGAUCCUCACUCGCGAAAUGGUCUUUGAUAAUGUAGAUCCCCACAGUAGUGUCCUCAACAGCUGCCUUGGUGGACUCUUCAUCCAUGCCCUGAAGAAGACACAAAGGCAAAACUUGUCAAUCAUAUAAAAUGAAUCAUUCGUCAAUGAAGUGUUUACAGUUAGGGACUCUAGACUGCAGAAAGUAUAGCUCAUGAAGCACAAGAGCAUGAUACAGACAAAAAUAAAUCAAGACUGGAGUCCUUUUAAGUGUCAACUAAAUUGAACUGUUUAUAAUAUUUGAACACCGCCUAUUACAAGGCUAAAAUGAAAAGUGGUUCUAACCAAGAUUUCUAUUCAGAUUACAUUUGAGACAUAGCCAAUUUGAUCACUGGAGACAUGGAGUCUUUAAUCUGAGUAAUACAAUUAUGAAUAAAAAGAAAGUGCAUCUAACCGUAGCUAAUGAAAUAAGAUGGAAGACAGAUGAGAUGAUAGAUACAGUAAUAGAAUAGCUAGUGAUAGAAUAUGAAGGUGGCACGGAACAGGAGAGGAAGAGAAAGAAAAAGGAAAAAGGAAACACUUCAUACCAAUUAGGCAAGCUGAGGGAAAACAAUCUUCUACCUUCACCAACCAAUCUCAGAUAACAUGACCAAUAGAUCAACAAUAAAACAAGCAUGGCUAACUUCCCUCAAUGACUUCAAAGAGCGCAGGCCAUCUUGCCAUGAAGUCCUCUACCAAGGGUGCGUCACGGACAACUUAAUGUCUCCUGUAUGCAAACGUCUUCUCCAUUUUGAACUUCACCGUCUCUCUGUUGUUCCUUUUCUUCACAUCAGACAGUAGAGCUUUCCGCAUGUCCUCGAGGCUCUCUUCUGUUUCUCCUGAAGGAUAUGUGGGGCAAAGGUUCACUUUUGUAUGUACUGUACAUGGGUAACGGACAGUACGGCCGUAAUGCGGGUGCUUUAACUUGUAAUGAUGCAAAAGUUGGGACCUGCUUGACACCAAUUCUGAACACCCCUUACAUUUCCACAACACUGAAAAAAAGAUAACAGAAAUGUGCGGCUCAGUUGGUAGAGCAUGGUGUUUGCAACGCCAGGGUUGUGGGUUCGAUUCCCACGGAGGACAAGUACGGAGAAAAAAAAUGUAUGAAAUGUAUGCAUUCACUACUGUAAGUCGCUCUGGAUAAGAGCGUCUGCUAAAUGACUAAAAUGUAAAUGUACCAUAAGACCUAAAGACUGACAUUCUGAGCAAAUUUUGGGGGGGGGUAUUAAAAUAACCUCUGAUAACAGUACUCACCAACACUAUACAUCCUUUGAAUGUGUAGACAAAAGCAGCACAAAUGUAGCAGGCAAACAUCAUGGACCUGUUAAUAUACUUUUUGUUCAUGAAAUUAUUUUUUUCAUUAUAAAAUAUUUGAUUCAAUUAUCUGUUGAUUUAUGCAUGCAUCUACUCAUAUGCACAUACGUUGAAUUAUUUUUGUCAAAUAAUUGUAAAUGUAUUGAUAAAUGGACACCCAUAAUAUAAAGUAACUAUGUUCCAAGUGCUAAAAUGAACUCCACAACCCAGUUAAAUAAGUCUCGGUCACCUUUGCACCAUGUUUUACGACAUGGAGGCAGCCAUGGGCAAACUGUUAAACUGCAUGAACCACCAAUCUCAUAGGAUUAGGUGUAUGAUCAUUAGACCUUAAAUAUGUCAUGAUUUUUUUUGUUGUUGAUGCAAAUACAUUAACUUUCACAAUUUUUUACCUCACAAGGAAGAAAAAAAAUGGCGCACUAAAUGCUGCUGCGAAGUGAUUGCAGACCAUGUCGUGCACAAGCACCAAAGAAUUUGUUAGCUAGCAUGUUAGCUAGCUCAAGUGGUGUGCACUCCUCAGAAAACCUUAAUUAGUUCUUGGCUUGGUAAAUUCGAAGUUCUUGACCAAUAGGUACAUAUCAUGGUGUGUCGCCAACUAACUUUACCUCCUUGCAAAAUGUUCAUCUUGACCUAGUCCUGUUUUACUGUUCAUAGAAGCUAGCUAGCAACAUUGUCUUUUACCUUUAGCUGCCAUGCCAAUAUGUUUCAGACUCAAAAGCACAAAACUAGGAUAUGGAGCAAUCACUAAUAAUGUUGCUGCUUACAAUUCUGACUACAGACAAACGUUGAAUAAAAAUAAAUCACCAUGCUUACCUUGACCACGAUUCUAGAUAUUGUCUUCUCCGCUAACGCGCCAAGGAUCUUUCUGGAAGAUUCUUCUCUCACGCGGUUUGACUUCUUCCUCAUUACUCGUCAUGAAUUAGCUUUAUUGGUUCACACUCCAACUACAUGAUUCAAACUAGUAGAUCAGAUUUUGCUUCGUGUUGCAUUGAUCGCAAACAAUGAAAUUGUGUUGUGAGGAGAAACAAAACAUGUUUGAGUAAAUCACAUAAAUCUGUCCCGUUUUUUCAGUGUAGGUUUCACCAACAAUCUUUAAUGUUUCCUGUACAAUUUUACCCCACAUAAAGCUCUUUUGUGGAAUAAUUCAGGCAUAACUGUAAGGAAUAAGUAAUUGUUCUACCCUAGCUGCCAUGAGAGGAAUAUUGACUUUGUUCUUAAUGUUUUCACCAACAGGGGUAAUAUUCUUUCAAAUUUAUAACAUUGAAUGAGUUUCCAAUAACUUUCAGAGAGUUUAUUUCUGUGAUAAAAAGCCAUUCCCAGUGGUCUUACUACACUAAUGAAAAUUAAUCUUAGCUUUGGUGAUGAUCACAGAGUUUAUCCAGAACUCAGUUUGAAAGGCGUGGACUUACUCGAGAAAUCUUGUAACAAAUACACAUUUUCCAUUCACGGAACCAAUUUAUGCCUAGAGGAAACAUUUUCUGGAACAUGCUUAUUCCUGACUAUGUCUGGGGAAAAAGCUUGUUUGAAGCCUUACAGAUAUUUUAUACCAAACAAAUUUAAGGAAGUGCACUUUAAGAUUCUACAUAAGAUAUAUCCAUGUAAUUCUAUGUUGUCCAAAUUUGUUGAUAUUGAUGAUAUCUGCGUUUUCUGCAAAAGAAAAAGGUGAAAAUCUAACUCACUUGUUCUAUGGAUGUAAAUCUGUGAUAGAGUUUUGGAAAAACCUUGCAGAAUACAUAUUUACCUUUUUGAGCACUACUCCUGUUUUUAACAUGAAGGAUAUAGUAUUAUAGUAGUAAGGAUAUAGUAGUAUUUUCUUGUUUAUACUUGUGUUUUGUUUUGUUAGACAUGUUUGAUGUAGGGAUGUAAAUUGUUUCUAAUUUUGUGUAGUAAUUUUUUAUAUAUAUACACAGUAUAUACCUAAAACAUGGGGUUAAUAACACUUCUGUGGAUACUUUGUCUCAAAAUCCGACUAACACCACUGAAGUGUAUUCAACAUUCUGAAUAUUAAAGGGACUAUUUUGAAUUAUUUUACGUAAAUUUGAGUGGUGUUGCCUACAUAAUUUGAAGGCAUCUCCAUGUUUCGUGCUUAGGCUUAAACCAGUGACAGUUUGUUCAGGUUCUUUCAAUCGCAUUAAUCUCUCUACUCCGCCUGUCUCCUGUCUCUCUCUGUCUGUCUUGAGCUUUCCCUAGCAAACUUGCAACAUUGUAACGACUUGGUCCAGCUCGCUAGCGAACUUGCAACAUUGUUUUAACUGGACCCUCACAGUUUCCCCGCACUAAUGAGCUCCGGACAGACACAGCUGUAUUUUUGUCCUGUAUUCCUGUCAUGAAUCCCGCUUCCUGAGUCUGUGUUCUGCCUGAGCUGACUGUUUUCUGUUUUGGAGUUGUUUCUGAACACACCCUGUCUGGUUGCCGGGCGACGAAGCUAGGCGGGAGAUCUCUCAAUUACCCGCACCUGCAUCUCAUCAGCCAUCUGCACACCUGGUCCUGAUCAUCACCUCUUCUCUUCAUAAACCCUGACCUGACAUCCAUUCCCUGCCGGAUCGUUAGCAAUGAACAUUAGUCAUCCUCCCGGAACAUUCGCCCCCCUUGCCUGGUCGUCGGUGGUUUCAGUGACAUCAUUGGAUCUGCCUAUUCACUCUCAUCAACUCACCUCCGCUGCCUCGAGUCUGUGAAUAAAUACUCACCUUCAUUUUACUCACCUUGUCCUGGUCUGCUUCUGGGUUCAGCUUUAGAGAAACGUGACAAUUUCAGCCCCUUUUCACGUGUCCCGAUUAUGAUAUAUUUUUCAUUUGUCAGCAAGACGCAUCAAUUAAUUCAGGCUACAAUAUUGUAGGCCUAAUGACAAUCGCGAAUGUCAUUACACUUUUUGUGAUUUUGUAACGUCUCUUUCCCUCCAUCAAAUGGCAGGUGCACAGUGCAUUGUUUGGGUACUGGAAUUAUUUUGGAGUGGGCCAACGUGCCCAGGUAGCCUACGUUUUAGGUAGUCUAGGUUUUUGAAGUGAUUUGUUUGAUAGAUGAAAACAUCGUGACUGGUUGUGUUCAUUAAAAGGUAAUGUCUUUACUAUUAGGACCAUUAAAUAGGAAGUCCC
RNAcentral lists this long non-coding RNA (5378 nucleotides) under Salmo salar (Atlantic salmon). Its description in RNAcentral is "lncRNA (ENSSSAG00000090146.1)". The stretch from base 2089 to 2142 matches the Rfam family "UnaL2 LINE 3' element". The record is from RNAcentral. Lineage: Eukaryota; Metazoa; Chordata; Actinopteri; Salmoniformes; Salmonidae.